CUUAAAAUGUCAAAAUGAAAUAUUGUCUAUUAAAACAGAAGAAUUAAAAUAAACAAGAGAAGUUGGGCAUUGGUCAUCUGAUGGUUGUAACCUCCAGCUUUCCCAGGAAAUAUGAGAAGACAUGGAAAAAAAAAAACCUUAAAUGCCCAUCGCUAAGUGAAAGAAGCCGAUCUGAAAAGACUACAUACUGUGAGUAGGGCUGAUUGGAGCCAUUGUACAGUGUCGGGAACAUACCAGGACACUGAGAAUAGUGUCAUGUCAUAAGGACCCAGAGCAGAUGGACCCUGCUGUGAUGCACAAAGAGGACCACGCAAGAUAUGAUAAAGAUCUACAUCACUGAAUUUUGGUUCCAUUUUUGUAUCUCAGCUUCCAGGAAAUAAAAAAGAAUUCUAACAUU
Molecule: long non-coding RNA, 397 nt
Filed under: Homo sapiens (human)
Lineage: Eukaryota; Metazoa; Chordata; Mammalia; Primates; Hominidae
Description: non-protein coding lnc-FOXD4L5-25:11
Source: RNAcentral